RNAcentral lists this ribosomal RNA (519 nucleotides) under uncultured microorganism. RNAcentral describes it as "bacterial SSU rRNA". It matches the Rfam family "Bacterial small subunit ribosomal RNA", at positions 9 to 511 of the family's 1533-position model. The record is from RNAcentral.
GAGUUUGAUCGUGGCUCAGGAUGAACGCUGGCGGCGUGCCUAAUACAUGCAAGUCGAGCGAACAGACGAGGAGCUUGCUCCUCUGACGUUAGCGGCGGACGGGUGAGUAACACGUGGAUAACCUACCUAUAAGACUGGGAUAACUUCGGGAAACCGGAGCUAAUACCGGAUAAUAUAUUGAACCGCAUGGUUCAAUAGUGAAAGACGGUUUUGCUGUCACUUAUAGAUGGAUCCGCGCCGCAUUAGCUAGUUGGUAAAGUAACGGCUUACCAAGGCAACGAUGCGUAGCCGACCUGAGAGGGUGAUCGGCCACACUGGAACUGAGACACGGUCCAGACUCCUACGGGAGGCAGCAGUAGGGAAUCUUCCGCAAUGGGCGAAAGCCUGACGGAGCAACGCCGCGUGAGUGAUGAAGGUCUUCGGAUCGUAAAACUCUGUUAUUAGGGAAGAACAAUGUGUAAGUAACUAUGCACGUCUUGACGGUACCUAAUCAGAAAGCCACGGCUAACUACGUGCCAG